This 1447-nucleotide long non-coding RNA is filed under the name Olea europaea (common olive). RNAcentral describes it as "long non-coding RNA (OEUR_LNC008608)". The record is from RNAcentral. Lineage: Eukaryota; Viridiplantae; Streptophyta; Magnoliopsida; Lamiales; Oleaceae.
CUCAUGCCGCCAUGUAUGUAAAUUCGUAUUUCAAUUAAUUGCAUUUUUAACCAUGUAUUUAUGGAAAUUGAAUUUACGGCAUGAGAAUUGGAAUUAGAGACUAACAUUAGCAUUUUUAAACAAAGUGAAUGUAAAAUGCCUAGUAAAUUAUAUAUCUUGAAGCAAUUUUAGAUGCUAAUCACACUCCCCAACCAAGAUAUUGCUAGUCUCUAGCAAUAAAAAUUCAAAAAUAGUUCCAAUGAAAUAGCUCGUCCCAUUUGCCAUAAGAUUUGAAAUUGCUUAUCAAAAUUCUUCUACGGUUUGCUACCAAAAUAUAGUCUAACUUGUCCAAUGCUCGACCAACAUGUGUGUGUGCAUAAUCAAUUCAAUCACAUACUUUUUUCAAAUUGGACUCAUCCCGACCCUCAAUGGUCAAUUAUUUCGCUCUUCGCUCGUUGGAUGCACACCCUCAAACUUGAUUUUGUAACUAUUUUCCCAAGGUGUAGUGUAUGGUUAAAUUUAUAUACUAUUACUUACCAUCUCUAGUUUGGUUAGAUUUUACUAAUUGUAGCUCAACACAUCAAUAAAUGAGGAUUCUCCUUAAUUUUGAUCGAUACAACCUCCAAGAAUCAACUAAGCUACUAAUCCCUUAUCAAAGGUUUAAUUCUCUAAAAUAAGUGUUUGGAACUUAAUCAAAGCAUGUAGUGCGUCUUCUGUUUCAUGCACUUGCUUUUUUCAAGUUUGCCGUGCAUAUUCUGUUUCAUGCACUAGUCUAUCUCUUUUUAUGUAUAUAAUUGUCCUCAUUGGGCUCUUUUAGGGUAGCUUCACAACAUGACACCUUUUUCCCUUCUAUGCAAUGAUUAGUGCAAUGCCCCUCAUUAAACACUUAUUCUCAAAAAUCGAUCUUUAACUUAAGAUUUUCACCUAAUUAUCAUCUCAUUGGUCUUAAGCAAUUCACACAAAAUUUAACACACAUGGAAUCCACAUCCAUCUCAAUGUCUCCCCACAACAGCUCAACCACCCCCAAACUAUCCUAUAAUUGGUUUAGCUGAAUUUUUUUGUUUUUGGUCAUAGUUAAUUCUACAUAUUCUAUCCAUUGAUCCAAUCUAAAUAAUAUGUGAUUUUCAUGAUUAUUGUGCUCAAUGUAGGUCAAUCUAACAUGAACAAGCUUAAAACUAAAUCAAAGUAGCAUCCCCUAGUCAUAAUAAUAUAAAAACAAUUUCAAAUAUUAUCAUCGGUCGGCAAGAACUUUUUUUUUUUUUUGGGAACAUUUUGAUUCCUUCCCCCAACCUAAAUGAAACAUUGUCCUCAAUGAAAAGAUUAAAUGUGCAAAAUAUAUGAAGGACAAUAAGGAGCAAAAUUUUGAACAAAGGGACGGGUUUUGAGCUUUACCUGGAAAGUCUGUAUAAACUUGGCCUAAAUGAACCUUCAAUUUCAUUAGUGAAAAAAAAAUGACAAUAAAAGAAAC